This 700-nucleotide ribosomal RNA is filed under the name uncultured Alphaproteobacteria bacterium. RNAcentral describes it as "bacterial SSU rRNA". It matches the Rfam family "Bacterial small subunit ribosomal RNA", at positions 94 to 829 of the family's 1533-position model. Lineage: Bacteria; Pseudomonadati; Pseudomonadota; Alphaproteobacteria. The record is from RNAcentral.
AGUGGCAGACGGGUGAGUAACACGUGGGGAUCUGCCCAAUGGUACGGAAUAGCUCUGGGAAACUGGAAAUAAUACCGUAUGAGCCCGCAAGGGGAAAGAUUUAUCGCCAUUGGAUGAACCCGCGUCGGAUUAGCUAGUUGGUGUGGUAAAGGCGCACCAAGGCGACGAUCCGUAGCUGGUCUGAGAGGAUGAUCAGCCACACUGCGACUGAGACACGGCCCAGACUCCUACGGGAGGCAGCAGUGGGGAAUAUUGGACAAUGGGCGCAAGCCUGAUCCAGCCAUGCCGCGUGAGUGAUGAAGGCCUUAGGGUUGUAAAGCUCUUUCGCCGACGAAGAUAAUGACGGUAGUCGGAGAAGAAGCCCCGGCUAACUUCGUGCCAGCAGCCGCGGUAAUACGAAGGGGGCUAGCGUUGUUCGGAAUCACUGGGCGUAAAGCGCACGUAGGCGGAUAUUUAAGUCAGGGGUGAAAGCCUGGAGCUCAACUCCAGAACUGCCCUUGAUACUGGGUAUCUCGAGUCCGGAAGAGGUAAGUGGAACUGCGGGUGUAGAGGUGAAAUUCGUAGAUAUUCGCAAGAACACCAGUGGCGAAGGCGGCUUACUGGUCCGGUACUGACGCUGAGGUGCGAAAGCGUGGGGAGCAAACAGGAUUAGAUACCCUGGUAGUCCACGCCGUAAACGAUGGAGGCUAGCCGUUGGUGA